GUAUAUUCCAGAAGGUCCAAAGAAGGGCCCAAGAUCAACACGGGGAUUGCUACCUUGGGAAUUAAGGGAGACACAUCAGCCACACCAAUCCCAAGAUCAACACGGGGAUUGCUGCCUUGGGAAUUUAGGGAGACACAUCAGCCACACCAAUGAUUAGGACACCUGUCCAAAUUCAGUUACAAACAAGGGGGUGAUCGUGUAUAUAGUACAGCAGAGGGCAAGGAGGAGGAUCUGAUAAAAAAAUAUUCCUUUUUCAUUUGUAUUGUUGGAGAGCUACUGCAGGCUCUUGGCUUGAUUCUUAGGAUUCAAGAAUUUUCCCUUUUGUUCUAGUUUCUGUUUUCUUUCUUCUUCAUUUUUAAUAUCUGAAGAUUGUAAUCUAUAACACUUGACUCUGAAUUGAAAUACAGAUUUCUUCUUCUCAUACCCAUUCUAGAAUUCUUUGAUUUUUUUUUUUUUUUUAUUUUGUUAUUUCCUUACUCUAUCAAUUUGGUCCGACGUGCUUCUGGAUUCCAAUGACUACUACACGAUCUGAUAGCCGUUUAGAUAGAGAGGAAUGUUUCAACCUUAGAAAACCGUAUUAACUCCAUCGACAAUUCUCUCCACACCUUACAAACAGAGCAGUCUAAAACCUUCCACACAUUAGAACAACGUCUCUCCUCAUUUGACCAGAAAUUUACCACCAUUGAGACCCUACUCCACAACCUCUCUUCACAACAUAUCACUCCUCAAUCAGGUGACUCCACAAACCCAAAACAGUGCACACCUUCUUCAUCUUCUACACCCGACCCACUAUACACUCAACACCCCACUAUCACUACCCCACCUAAAACCUUCAAUAACCCACAAACCACUAACCCAACAACUCAUUCACAACCUUACCACCAGAAUUUCACCCAUAAAAACUCAGACAUUCCCCAAUUCAAUGGAACAGAUCUCGUCGGAUGGUUUGCCCGAGUGGAACACUUUUUUGAGAUUCACCAUAUCCAACCGGACCAGCGUGUCUCCACUGCCCUCAUUACCACGGUCGGCGCACCCCUUCACUGGUUCCUCUGGAUUCGCCAACGCAAACCUCAACUCACUUGGGAAAUGUUGAAAUCAGAGUUAACCCAUCAAUAUGGUGGUGACAUCGCAAACAACCCUUAUGAACAUUUGGCAGCAGUAAAACAAACUGGGUCUGUCGCUGCUUUCCUGG
Molecule: long non-coding RNA, 1192 nt
Filed under: Jatropha curcas
Lineage: Eukaryota; Viridiplantae; Streptophyta; Magnoliopsida; Malpighiales; Euphorbiaceae
Description: long non-coding RNA (JCUR_LNC002243)
Source: RNAcentral